GGGGGCGAUCUGGCUUCGACGGGUCGAAGAAGUCGGGCGCUGCGUGUCGAGGUCGUAGCCACCUCGUUAAACAGCUGCAGUCUGGUAGCUCAUAACUGCCGAUGACAACUACGCUCUCGCUGCCUAACUAACCCUUAGGAACUAGCGACACCCGUCCACGACGUCCUCUAGUGGGUCGCGGGUGCAAUCAGGGGACUGGCUCCCGAGCGCUGCUCGGCCGUAUCCGGGAGCGAGAUCACGUCGAGCUAGGGUGUGCUUGGCCGGUUCCCUCGCCUGGCACACCCGAAAUCAAGAGGGAACUACACACGUAGACGCGUCCGUUGGACGCGAUCCGGACGCGGGUUCGAUUCCCGCCGCCUCCACCA
This 365-nucleotide transfer-messenger RNA is filed under the name bacterium. RNAcentral describes it as "JACKFD01 sp020632655 Standard tmRNA". It matches the Rfam family "transfer-messenger RNA". From Rfam's summary of the family: Bacterial tmRNA, also known as 10Sa RNA or SsrA, is named for its dual tRNA and mRNA-like properties. Its role is to liberate the mRNA from a stalled ribosome. The record is from RNAcentral. RNAcentral also lists the same sequence under 3 other names.